GCACUCCAGCAAACCCUGUCCUCUUUCAUUGGUGGAUCUGGGUAAAAGUAGUGCAAGAGUAAUUCUGAGUAUAUCCAGAUGAGCUUCUGCCACUGUUGGAGCUCGUCCCUACAACCUCUGAAACAAUG
Molecule: small nucleolar RNA, 128 nt
Organism: Ictalurus punctatus (channel catfish)
Lineage: Eukaryota; Metazoa; Chordata; Actinopteri; Siluriformes; Ictaluridae
Gene: SNORA55
Product: Small nucleolar RNA SNORA55
Source: Ensembl